GUCCUAAGGUAGCGAAAUUCCUUGUCGGGUAAGUUCCGACCCGCACGAAAGGUGUAACGACUUGGGCACUGUCUCAACGAGAGACCCGGUGAAAUUAUAGUACCUGUGAAGAUGCAGGUUACCCGCGACAGGACGGAAAGACCCCGUGGAGCUUUACUGCAGCCUGAUAUUGAAUUUUGGUACGUCAUGUACAGGAUAGGUGGGAGACAGAGAAGCCAGGACGCCAGUCUUGGCGGAGUCGCCCUUGGGAUACCACCCUUGUCGUACUGAAGUUCUAACCCGCACCCCUGAUCGGGGUGGGAGACCGUGUCAGGUGGGCAGUUUGACUGGGGCGGUCGCCUCCCAAAGAGUAACGGAGGCGCCCAAAGGUUCCCUCAGAAUGGUUGGAAAUCAUUCGAAGAGUGUAAAGGCAGAAGGGAGCUUGACUGCGAGACCUACAAGUCGAGCAGGGACGAAAGUCGGGCUUAGUGAUCCGGUGGUUCCGCAUGGAAGGGCCAUCGCUCAACGGAUAAAAGCUACCCCGGGGAUAACAGGCUUAUCUCCCCCAAGAGUCCACAUCGACGGGGAGGUUUGGCACCUCGAUGUCGGCUCAUCGCAUCCUGGGGCUGUAGUCGGUCCCAAGGGUUGGGCUGUUCGCCCAUUAAAGCGGUACGCGAGCUGGGUUCAGAACGUCGUGAGACAGUUCGGUCCCUAUCCGUCGCGGGCGCAGGAAAUUUGAGAGGAGCUGUCCUUAGUACGAGAGGACCGGGAUGGACGCACCGCUGGUGUACCAGUUGUCCUGCCAAGGGCACCGCUGGGUAGCUAUGUGCGGAAGGGAUAAGCGCUGAAAGCAUCUAAGCGUGAAGCCCCCCUCAAGAUGAGAUUUCCCAUUGCAUAAGCAAGUAAGAUCCCUCGAAGAUGACGAGGUAGAUAGGUCCGAGGUGGAAGCGUGGCGACACGUGCAGCUGACGGAUACUAAUCGAUCGAGGACUUAACCAAU
This 979-nucleotide ribosomal RNA is filed under the name Anoxybacillus sp. UARK-01. Its description in RNAcentral is "bacterial LSU rRNA". It matches the Rfam family "Bacterial large subunit ribosomal RNA", at positions 1948 to 2925 of the family's 2925-position model. Lineage: Bacteria; Bacillati; Bacillota; Bacilli; Caryophanales; Anoxybacillaceae. The record is from RNAcentral.